Molecule: ribosomal RNA, 473 nt
Filed under: uncultured bacterium
Lineage: Bacteria
Description: bacterial SSU rRNA
Rfam family: Bacterial small subunit ribosomal RNA
Source: RNAcentral
GGUGAACGCUGGCGGCGUGCCUAAUACAUGCAAGUCGAACGCUUCACUUCGGUGAAGAGUGGCGAACGGGUGAGUAAUACAUAAGUAACCUGGCAUCUACAGGGGGAUAACUGAUGGAAACGUCAGCUAAGACCGCAUAGGUGUAGAGAUCGCAUGAACUCUAUAUGAAAAGUGCUACGGGACUGGUAGAUGAUGGACUUAUGGCGCAUUAGCUGGUUGGUAGGGUAACGGCCUACCAAGGCGACGAUGCGUAGCCGACCUGAGAGGGUGACCGGCCACACUGGGACUGAGACACGGCCCAGACUCCUACGGGAGGCAGCAGUAGGGAAUUUUCGGCAAUGGGGGAAACCCUGACCGAGCAACGCCGCGUGAAGGAAGAAGUAAUUCGUUAUGUAAACUUCUGUCAUAGAGGAAGGACGGUGGAUAUAGGGAAUGAUAUCCAAGUGACGGUACUCUAUAAGAAAGCCACGGCU